RNAcentral lists this ribosomal RNA (242 nucleotides) under uncultured Actinomycetales bacterium. Its description in RNAcentral is "partial 16S ribosomal RNA". It matches the Rfam family "Bacterial small subunit ribosomal RNA", at positions 88 to 334 of the family's 1533-position model. The record is from RNAcentral. Lineage: Bacteria; Bacillati; Actinomycetota; Actinomycetes; Actinomycetales.
UACUCGAGUGGCGAACGGGUGAGUAACACGUGGGUGAUCUGCCCUGCACUUCGGGAUAAGCCUGGGAAACUGGGUCUAAUACCGGAUAGGACCACAUUUUGGAUGGUGUGGUGGAAAGUUUUUCGGUGUGGGAUGAGCUCGCGGCCUAUCAGCUUGUUGGUGGGGUAAUGGCCUACCAAGGCGUCGACGGGUAGCCGGCCUGAGAGGGCGUACGGCCACAUUGGGACUGAGAUACGGCCCAG